AUGAUCCAUUGGCAUCCUUUGGAUAAUAAGUUGCAAGCUCAUUAUCCUGAAAGUCGAAUUAAAUCAAUUCAAAUGGACAAUGCUGCAGAAUUUUCCUCACGUGCUUUCAAUGAUUAUUGCAUGGCUUUGGGGAUUGAAGUUCAGCCAUAUGUCCAUACACAAAAUGGUUUGGCUGAAGCAUUGAUUAAGAGGAUCGAACUCAUUGUAGGACCUUUGUUGAUGAAUUGCAACUUGCCAACUUCUUGUUGGGGUCACACUGUUUUACACACUAUUGACUUGAUACAAUUGAGGCCAACUGCAUAUCACAGUUCUUUCCCUCUGGAAUUGGUAUGUGGAAAUCCUCAAGGCAUUUCCCAUCUACGUAAGUUUGGAUGUGUUGCGUACAUCCCAAUCUCAUCACCACAGCGGACAUUUAUGGGCCCACACAGGAAGUUGGGGAUCUAUGUGGGGUACAAAUCACCGUCGAUUAUUAAGUACCUGGAACCCCUGAUUGGGGAUCUGUUCACAUGCCGUCACGCUGAUUGCAUAUUUAAUGAGGAACAUUUUUCGGCAUUAGGGGGAGAUUUCAAGUACCAGAAAGAAUGCCCAAAAAUUGAUUGGAAUGCUCAUUCCAUUUCAUCUUCUGAUCCACGUACCCAUGAGACCGAACUUCAAGUUCGGAAGAUCUUUAAUUUGCAACAUCUUGCAAAUAAUUUGCCAGAUUCAUUUACUGAUUUGAAAGGUGUUACAAAAUCCUUAAACCCGGCCAGAAAAGCGCCAGAAAGAGUGGAGGUACCAAUAAAAACCACUCAACUCCCUAUUCCUAAAAAGAGGGGGAGUAGUAUGGCCUCUGACCCGGAGCAUGCUUCUAGCAAGCAGCAAAGGAAAUCAAGGAGAAAAACCUUGGAGUCAGUAAAUGCAGGUCAACUCAACGUUGACAAACACUUGAUGGGUAGUUUACACCCAGUGGAAGGGCAACCUCCACAACCUAGUUCUAGUGUGCACAAACUGACUGGGACAUCGGAACACCCAGACUCGAUCGUAUUGGGAAAUCACGAAGAGUCACUAGGGGAGCAGGAAAUUUCCAUCAACUAUGUUGAUUUUGGAGAAUCAUUUGACCGUAAGACUACGACUGUCGACAUAUAUUUUGCUGAAAAGAUUGUAGAUACCCUUCUCACUGAUCAUGAUCCAAGGUCUAUCGUUGAGUGCCAAAAGCGCUCCGACUGGCCUAAAUGGAAGGAUGCAAAGCAGAAAUUGCCUCGCUUAACAAAAGAAAGAUAUUCAUUGAAGCAAUACCAACACCCUCCAGUGUUUUCCUUGUGGAAUUCAAAUGGGUUUUUCUGCGGAAACAGAAUGAGAACAAUGAGGUGGUGA
This 1353-nucleotide ribosomal RNA is filed under the name Triticum aestivum (bread wheat). RNAcentral's name for it is "partial small subunit ribosomal RNA". Lineage: Eukaryota; Viridiplantae; Streptophyta; Magnoliopsida; Poales; Poaceae. The record is from RNAcentral.